RNAcentral lists this ribosomal RNA (632 nucleotides) under Hyphodermella sp. Its description in RNAcentral is "eukaryotic LSU rRNA". The stretch from base 234 to 387 matches the Rfam family "5.8S ribosomal RNA". Lineage: Eukaryota; Fungi; Basidiomycota; Agaricomycetes; Polyporales; Phanerochaetaceae. The record is from RNAcentral.
UUUCCGUAGGUGAACCUUGCGGAAGGAUCAUUAACGAGUUUGAAAGGGGUUGUAGCUGGCCUUUCACGAGGCAUGUGCACACCCUGCUCUUCCACUCUCAACCUCUGUGCACUAUUGUAGGCUUGGUAAAAGGCGUUGACUCGCAAGGGUCAGCUGCCGGAAGCCUUGUCUAUGUUUCACUACAAACGCUUCAGUUAUAGAAUGUAACACUUGCGGAUAACGCAUUUAUAUACAACUUUCAGCAACGGAUCUCUUGGCUCUCGCAUCGAUGAAGAACGCAGCGAAAUGCGAUAAGUAAUGUGAAUUGCAGAAUUCAGUGAAUCAUCGAAUCUUUGAACGCACCUUGCGCUCCCUGGUAUUCCGGGGAGCACGCCUGUUUGAGUGUCAUGGUAUUCUCAACCUUCAUAACUUUUUGUUAUCGAAGGCUUGGACUUGGAGGUUGUGCUGGCUCUCGUUAGUCGGCUCCUCUUAAAUGCAUUAGCGUGAACGUUUACGGAUCGCUAUCAGUGUGAUAAUUAUCUGCGCUGUUAGUGUUGAAGUAUGCAUAGUGUCUCGCUUCUAACCGUCCUUCAGUUGGACAACAACACCUGACAUCUGACCUCAAAUCAGGCGGGACUACCCGCUGAACUUAA